UACGGAGGUGGCAAGCGUUGCUCGGAAUCACUGGGCGUAAAGGGCGCGUAGGCGGGGAGGUAAGUCGGGUGUGAAAUCCCUCGGCCCAACUGAGGAACUGCGCCCGAGACUGCUUCUCUUGAGUCCCGGAGAGGAAGGUGGAAUUCCCGGUGUAGCGGUGAAAUGUGUAGAGAUCGGGAGGAACACCGGUGGCGAAGGCGGCCUUCUGGACGGUGACUGACGAUGAGGCGCGAAAGCGUGGGGAGCAAACGGG
RNAcentral lists this ribosomal RNA (253 nucleotides) under uncultured bacterium. Its description in RNAcentral is "partial 16S ribosomal RNA". It matches the Rfam family "Bacterial small subunit ribosomal RNA", at positions 524 to 776 of the family's 1533-position model. The record is from RNAcentral.